GAACAAUAUGUUUUGCUCUUGGGCCAAAGUGAGUAAAAUUUGGUAUUAGACCCUAGAAUUUAACCUCAUAUGUUGGCAGUAGACUAGAAAAGGUCUUCAGAUGAAGAGAGCAGAGUAAAAUGGAGAAAGCCAUACACUGGGAGUCAGAUGGCCUGGAUAGGAUUCUGUGCUGGCGCUCAUUAGUCAGAAACUUGAGGUGAGCCAAGGACCUUAGUUUCCUGAUCCAUGGAGCAGAAGGUGGGGUAGAUUGUCUCAAAGUUUCCUUUCAGUUCUAGAAUUAUGAGGUUUUAGGUACUUCUUGGGUUAUUUUAAGCUAAAGUUAAAUGUUGACAUGGUGUAAGCUUCUAAUAUUUUUCUUCUGAUGAACUCAAGUAGCCUAUUCUAAAUUGUAAUAUUUAUCUUAAAUUGCUUAAACUCCUUCAAUCUAACAAACUAGUAUUUCUUAUUCAGCAAACAGUUGCUGAAUGUUUUCCAUGUGCCAGGUACUGUACAAAGGCCUAGAGUAACAGAGAUAAGUGAGACGUUUAAUUACUGUCCACAAGUAAUGACAUUGCAAUGUGCUAAGUGCCCCAAGAGAGGAAUGAAUGAAGUGCCGUUGUUGUUCAAAGGAGAGGUUGAUUUAUUCUGCUUUGUGGGGAGCCAGGACAGCUGAGAAGGAAGUGGCAUUUGAAGGGGUCUUGGAAGAUGUGUUUGCCAGGUGGAAGAUGGUGCUGAGGAGGUAACUGAAGGGCCUUACGGGCGGACCGAGGGGCAUGGUCAGAGUGAGGGAGAUAGGAAGACGCACAGUGUUUGAGUAAACCUUCCAGAUUGAGUUUCAGUUUCCAGGGCUAAAUCAUAGGGAACAAAUGGUGGGGGAGGCAGGGCUUUGACUAGACAGAAGAAUGGGCAAGAAUGCUCUGGAAGUGGAGUGAGGAAUUAGGAGGUCAAAUUCUUGCUAACAUUACCUCUGGGACUUCUUCACAAGUUGAAUAAUAAUUCAUAGUUUUCUUGAGCCUCAUAUAUAGUGAAAUUUACUUGCACUUCUACCCAUAAUUGUUGAGUAGAAUGAUUAGAACAUUCGUCUCUGUUAAUUGACCAUUUACUAUAUAUUGUCUUAUUCUCAAUGUCCAAGUCUAAUAUCUCGUUAAAAACUUUUACCCACAUCUUCUUUUCCAAAAAUUUAUCUCAGUAUAACAUUUAUAGACCAAACAUUUUUUAAAAUGUGUUUUGUUUGGCUAUAGGACAAAGGAUUAGGUUUUUGACAAGGAAUCACAGAUAUGUUUUAAUGAUAGGCAGUGUAUUCUUCAUAUAUAGAAUAUCAUAUUUUACCUCAAAAUCCCAACUCAAACCAUUUUGGUCUAUUGAAAGGAUAAAAUGGGAUGAUGGUUUGGAAGCUGUUUUUUGUGAACUUUAAGGUGUAGAUUAUUGUAAAUAAUUAUAACUAUCGGAAAGAGUACACUAUUACAUUUUAUGUCUGAGUCUCAGCCUUCUCCCUCCACAGUUAUAGGGUAGGAACUGCAUGUCAACUUGGAAUCGGACUCUGUUUUGAGCCAUUUAAUUUAGACACUUAUUAUUUUAAUGUAAGCGCUUUUACUUUGGCAGUCGACAUGCAGUUCUAAUUAGCGCUUGGAACACAGCAGAGUAGGUUGAUGAGGUACAAGACAUGAAAAAAUACGUUCUUAAUGGCCUGCCCGAGGACUCUGGCAGCAUCCAGGAAAGACGCUUUCGGCACAGUGCUCGAUGCUUCUGAGAAAUCAUCUUCACUGGCACUUACACUCUUAUAAAUUUAAUCGCUUCGGUGUUUUGAAAAUGUCAAAAUAUUGGCAUUAGCAGCUUUGUCAUCUAUACCACAGAGAGAACAGUAAUUUCUUAAGCUCAUUCUGAUGUAGCAACUGAUGUUUAAGAAAACUAAACUUGUUUUCUCCAUCUGCCCAGGAUUCGCUUCCCAACUUUGCCAGUCAAGCUCUUACUCAUCCUUUAAACCCUAGUUAGAAUAUCUCCCCCCACAGUCGUCCCUCCCUUUCCCCCGUGGCCAUUCCCUUUUCUGUAUAUACGCAUUGUCUGAAUAUCUACAUCUACAUGACCACACUGAGUUGUAGUCACUUUUUAAUGCAUUAGUCUCCCCUGUUGACUCUCAAUGUCAUAUUUGUAGAACUGUGUCCCCACAUCUGAAUUUUGGUUGCAUCCAAUUAAAAUGCACUGCAUGGUGGAAUAAAAAGAACACUCACUUUAUAGUUAAACUCUUAUAGGUUAAAUCUUAACUGCUAUUUACUUGCUAUGGGAACUUGACCAAGUCACUUAACUUCUUUGAGCGUCUUCAAAUAAGAGUAGUAAAGCCUGCUCCGCAGGAUUGUUGAAGAUUACAUAAGAUCCAUCCAUCAGUUUACCAAAUAUGGAGAGAUCCUGUUACAUGUGAGCCACGUUACUUGGUACUAAGAAUAUAGUAGUCAAUAAGGCAUGAUCCUGCCCUGAGAACUUUAUAAUUUAGUGGGAAAGACAGACAAGAAAACAGCCCAUUGCAAUAUAAUUCUUUCUUUUUUUUCCGGAGGUACUGAGAUUGACAUCUCUUAUCAACAGGUACUCUUUGUUUUGGCAAGGAAGGAUUCACCCUGAGCUAACAUCUGUUGCCAAUCUUCCUCUUUUUUCUUCUCCCCAAAGCCCCAGUGCAUGGUUGUCUGUCCUAGCUGUAGGUCCUUCUAGUUCUUCUCUGCGAUCUGCUGCCACAGCGUGGCAACCAACAGGCGAGUGGUGUGGUUCCACGACCGGGAAACAAACCCGGGACACUGAAGCAGUGAGAGUGCUGGACUUGAACCACUAGGCCGUCAGGGCUGGCUCUGCAAUAUAACUCUUGAAGGAUGAAUAGGAAUUCUCUAGCACAAGGGUUCUAGGGGGCAGGGUGAAGGCAGCAGGGUUUAGGGUGAAAGGGGAAGCAUGUGUGCUGCCAGAGAAAGUUGACAAGUCAAGACAUGGAGAGAGGCAUAAUAUAGCAGUAGCUGUGGGGUUGAGGCUAGAGAUGUAAAUACCAUGCGGGACCUCACAAGCCAGGCUCAGGGCAGGGGGAACCUGUGAGGAGUAGAUGAUCAGGUUUGCCUUUCAGAAAGAUCUCCUUCCUUGGCAGGGUGUGGAGUGGUUUGAGAUAGUCAAGGGAAUCAGUACAACCAGUUCAGAGGCUGUUGCCUUGAAGAGGUGAUGGCCCCUAUAGCAGGAGUUGCGGUGGGAAUGAGGUAAUGAGAACGUAUUGAGAGAUUUAGGAGGAAGAUAAGGCAGGAUGUGAUCCAACGUGUUGGUGAAAAGGAGAUAAGGAAAGGAGAGGAGUCAGGGAGAAGAAACAAGAGAAGUGGUUUGGAGUGUAGUGGGGAAUAGAAAGUCCAGUUUGGAACCUGUGGGGUUUGAAGUACCCAUGGGAAGUGUGGGACAUCUCGAGUUCAUCAUCUUGAACUCAUGCAUAUUUUGACCCAGCUGGUUUUUUGUUUUUGAAUAUAAACAUUUCCCCUAGGAUGAUAUCAACACUGAUGAAUUUUGUGGCAAAGAUUUAUUCCAGGGUGAACUCCAUUAAGGCAAUUUAAUUCCUUGAUCCAUUUUCUAUAUUGCAUAUUUAAACUGUUUACAAUUGUUUCCACUUUCAUUUUUAUUUUACCAACAUUAUCUCCAUCAAGAUAAAAUCAUUCUCCUGUUCAUUUUAAAAGGAAGCUGGCUCUUUCAACUUUUUUUUCUUCAUCUUUGUCAAAUUUUUAGAGAUUAUAGCUUUCUCCAUGGUAAGUUUCCUUUUAGAUCCACUAUUUUUAGUGUGUCAGAUUUUACACAUGUAAACUUUUAUCAAAUCUUUUUCAUUUUUCAUCAAUUUGUGAGAAAAAUUUUUAUCAUUUGCUGUCUCUGCUAUUGUUAGCUGUAGUUUAUUUUUUUUAACCAAGCCUAAUAUUUUCCUGAAACUUUUUACAGUUUUUAAAUUUACCAACAAUAUGUGAUCUUCAAGUCAGCUUUUCAUCUAUAACAAAUUUUACUAUGUAUCAUUUUGGGCCUUGUCACUUUCAUUUUGGUCCUUAAGAUCAGACUGCCUCUUGUUGACAGAAUCAAAAUGGCAUACUUCAGCCUAUGGAUGGCCAAGGGGAGAUGUCCGUGAAAGAGGGUAUGUAUAUAGGUCUGGGGAUUUGCAAAGACAUCUGAGGUCAAAUACAGAUUUGGGAGUCAUUUGCAUCUGGGUGUUGAGGCCAAGGGGAUGGGUGACAUCUCAUGAGAGGGUGUAUAGGGUGAGAAAAGAGUACCUAGGAAAACUAGGAGGAGCACCAACAUGUGGGAAAGAAAUGGCCCGAGGAGGAGGAGUCCAUGAAGGACAGGCAGGAGGUAGGAAGAAAUCCGUAGGAGGGCAUUAUCGUGGAAGUCAAGUCAAGGAGAGUGGUGGUUAACAAUGACAGGUGCGGCAGAGGGCAUGUAGGAUACAUACUGAAACAUGUUCUUUAGAUGGGGCAACAAUAACACCAUCACUCUCCUUGGUGAGAGUCAUCACAUGAGUGGAGAAAAACUACCCAGCUGAGCGUACUCACAAGAGGAGAGAGAAGGAAGUGGAAAAAGUGCAGGCAAUUAUACAGCUAACAUUGACUGUAAGAAGGGGAGUUUGUUUGCUUGUUUGUUGACUGGUUUAUUUAUUUCCUUUUAAAAGGAGAGAGACUUGAGCAUGGUUAAGCACUGAUAAGUUGGAGAGAGAGUUGGAAUGGGAUUCCUGAAGAGUGCAUUAGGACCCCAGUCCUUUCCAGGAGCCGGGAGCUGACAUCAGUCUUGCUGCCUAAAGCUCCGUAUCCAGCACUUACUAGCACCAGGCACUGUAGCAAGCAAUGGAGGUUAAAACAUGAAGAGACACUGUCCCAGCCCUCUCGGAGCUCACGUUCCAGCAGGAGGAAGCUGCACAGAUGUUGAAACGACUACUACAGGAUGAGAUGUUAAACUGGAAAGAAAACUUACAGACCUACAGGAACACAAUGACAGUAACAUCUUUAUAUUCUCACAACCCAGAGAUAUAAAAUGUGUGUGUAAGAUGGAGAUACAGCUUCUGCAUUUUCAAAAUGCUCAGAUGCCUGCAUGUGAAAGGCAGAGAGGAGAACCAGGACUCUCAGAGGAGAUGAAUUUUGACUCCAGACUGACUGGAACCAUCAGGAACUGGUGACUUGUGACCACAGCUUGUCCCGAGCGGACUCACUGCUGCCUCUGUGGUGAGCCUAUUUUCAAAGCCCCACAGUGGCCCCUUGUAAACUUUUCUCUUUUCCCUCAAGCCCUGACACUGCCGGUCCACUUGAGCUCCCACUGUGUGGAGACAAAAGGCCACCUAAUCUGUAGCAUCCCCCUCAAAACACCUCUAUUUUCAGCCCUUCUUCCUCCCUAUUUUAAUGAGCAGGUUUCCUGGAUUUUUCCCGAGGCCAGUUUCCCUGCUUGUGUGCUUGGCCCCAUCCUUUCCACCCCCCCAGGACCUUACUCAUUUGGUGAAAAUACAACUUUUUAGAAAUAAAUAUGUAACGUUCUCUGCACUUAAUAUUUUAUGGCAAUUAGGCUUUUUAAUCCCAAUGUCUGCUAUGCUAGGCUGACAGGAUUUUUAUGUAAACCAGCUGAUUUAUAUAUAUGUAAGUCCUAUAUGUGUAUAUGAAAGUUACAUUGGUAUGUUUAGACUAGUACAGCAGUGAGGAUGACAGAGAGAAAAGCAGACGUAUGAAAAUGCAGAACAAUAGAUUAGAGCGUGAAGCCUCUGUAGGUGGACAGCCUGAGCAUGCUUUGCUAAUUGUUUUGAAUCCUCAAUACCCUGUAGUGCAGACAGGGUGGGGCAAGGGGCCCAGAAUCACACACGUAUCAUGCCUUAAAGGCAAGCGGCAGACAACAGCUGUGUUGAUGCCACUACUAGAACUCCUCCGUGCCAUGUCCCCUAGCCCCACUGCUGGGCCCCCUAACUUGUUUAUUUCUAUUGAAGUAUAACAUACAUUAAAUAAUUUUCCCCUUUUAAAUGCACAGUUUGAUAAGUUUUAAAAUAUGCAUACUUCUAUGUGACUAUCAGCACAAUCAAGAUACAGUUUUGAUUUCAUCACCCAAAAAGUCCUCUCUUACUCCUUUGCAUUCAAGGUCUGCUGCUCCCAAUCCCUGGAAUCCAUCAAUUUGUUGUCUCUGAGCGUUAUGGACUGCGUGUUCACGUCGCCCCAAUUAAUACAUUGAAACCCUAACUCCCAACAGAGUGGUAUUAGGAGAUGGGGCUUUUGGGACAUAAUUAGGUCAUGAGGAUGGGGCCCCCAUGAUGGAGAUUAGUGCCCUUAUAAGAAGAGGAAGACAGCUAGCUCUCUGCUGUCUCUGCCAUGUGAGGAUACAGCAAGAUGUCCUCUGCCAGCCAGGAAGAGAGCCCUCAGCAGAUAUUAGAUCUGCCCGUGCCUUGAUCUUGGACUUUCUAGCCUCCAGAACUGUGAGAAACAAAUGUUUACUGAUUAAGCCACCCAGUCUAUGGUAUUUUUUUGUUAUAGCAGCCCGAGCAGACUAAGACACUUAGUAUAGACCAGUUUUGCCUGUUCUAGUAUAGAUUCACAAAUUAGUUUUGACUGUUUAUACAAAUGGUACAUUGGAUAUAAACUCUCUAUUGUCUGGAUUCUUUUCCUCAACAUAAUAUUUUAAAAAUUCUUCUAUGUUAUUACAUGUAUCAGUGUUUGUUCCUUUUUAUUUGUUAGUGGUAUUUUAUUGUAUAAAUACACCACAAUCUGUCACAUUUGGGUUGUUGCCAGUGUUUGGUUAUUAUGCAAUAAAGCUACUAUAACAUUCGUGUGUGUGGACAUAUAUUCUUAAUUUCUCUUGGUACAUAUUCAGGAGUGAGAUGGUGAGUUAUGUUUAACUUUUUAAGAAAUUACCAAACUGUUUUCCACCAGCAAUGUUGCUUCAUAUCUUCACCAAUACUUGGUAUUGUCAAUCUUUUAAAUUUUAUCCUCUCUAAUAGAAAUGCAGUUAUGUUUUAUUUUGGUUUUAACUUUUUGUAUUACCCUAAUGACUAGUGAAGCUGCUUGUCUUUUCAUGAGUUUAUUGGCAUUUCAUAUACCUUUUGUGAAGUGUCUGUUUAAAUCGUUGCCCAUUUUUUACUAGGUGUUUAUCUUAUUAUUCAGUUGUAAGAAUUCUUUAUAUAUUCUGAAUACAAGUACUUGGUCAGGUAUAUUCAUUGCAAAUAUUUUAUCCCAGUCUGUGGUUUGUCUUUGCGAUUUUCUAAAUAUUGUCUUUUGAAGAGGAGAGGUUUGUAAUUUUGUUAAAGUCAGAUUUUGAAAGUUUUGUUAUAGUGUGUCCUUCUGUGUUCUACCUAAGAAAUCUUUACCUGUUUCCAAGGUUGUGAGGAUUUUCUUUUAUACUUUCUUAUAGAAGUUUUAUAGUUGUAGCUUUUUUGUUUAAGUCUCAUCUAUUUAGAUGUAAUUUUUAUUUAGAGCUGUGAAUUAAAAAUUGAGGUUAACUUUUUGUGUAUGAAUAUUCAAUUGUCCAACACCACACACUGAAAAGAUUAUUCCUAUGGAAUUAUCUUGGUAUUUUCAGCAAAAAUCAAUGGACUACUUAAGUUUGCAUCUAUUUCUGAACUCUCCAUUCUGUUCCAUUGAUUUCUGUGUCUAUCUUUACACCAAUAUCACACUGUCUUGGUUACUGCAGCUUUAGAGUAAGUUUCGAAAUUAGGUGGUGCAAAUUCUCCAACUAUGUUCUUUUUUCAAAAUAGUUUUGACAAUUCUGUGUCAUUUGGAUUUACAGAUAAACUGUAGAAUUGACUGUCAAUCUUUAAGAAAGUGUCUGCUGGGAUUUCAAUCGGGUAGAAUUGAUACCUCAACAAUAUUGAGUCUUUUAAUCUAUGAAUGUGGCUCUUCACUAAUUUAACUCUUCUUUAAUUUCUCUCAUCAAUAUUUUGCAUUUUUCAAGCCACAGAUCUUACAUGUAUAUAUUAUUAAAUUUG
RNAcentral lists this long non-coding RNA (7915 nucleotides) under Equus asinus (donkey). Its description in RNAcentral is "lncRNA (ENSEASG00005034781.1)". The record is from RNAcentral. Lineage: Eukaryota; Metazoa; Chordata; Mammalia; Perissodactyla; Equidae.